CAAAGCAGUAUUAUGAGAUAUUUAUGAUGUUAUUAUUUUCAUUUUACAGAUAAGAAAAUGGAGGCAAAGAGAAAUCAUGAAACCAGUCCAAGAUUACAACACUGAUGCAGCACUUUAAAUAUUGGAUGGAGGAACUUGAACUGGACAUAUAACUUUAAGAUAUGUACAUUUUGGUACAUUUAAAUCAUCUACAAUCAAAUCUCUAUUAUUUUCAUGUGGACUUAUGAGACAUUAUGAAUCAGUGCCGAUGGUAUACUGCUCAUGAAGAUACCCAUAUACUUCCAAAAUAAAAUAUGCACUUUUAUGUGGCUAAGCCCCUUCCCCUUCUAAACUGAGAAACAUAAAUCUCCAAAAUAAACAAAUAUUUCAUAGA
Molecule: long non-coding RNA, 373 nt
Organism: Ictidomys tridecemlineatus (thirteen-lined ground squirrel)
Lineage: Eukaryota; Metazoa; Chordata; Mammalia; Rodentia; Sciuridae
Source: RefSeq, a predicted model, not a curated record